RNAcentral lists this unclassified non-coding RNA (377 nucleotides) under plant metagenome. RNAcentral describes it as "partial contains 5.8S ribosomal RNA, internal transcribed spacer 2, and large subunit ribosomal RNA". The stretch from base 1 to 105 matches the Rfam family "5.8S ribosomal RNA", at positions 50 to 154 of the family's 154-position model. The record is from RNAcentral.
GAAAUGCGAUAAGUAAUGUGAAUUGCAGAAUUCAGUGAAUCAUCGAAUCUUUGAACGCACCUUGCGCUCCUUGGUAUUCCUUGGAGCAUGCCUGUUUGAGUAUCAUGAAAUCUUCAAAGUAAAUCUUUUGUUAACUCAAUUGGUUUCUACUUUGGUAUUGGAGGUCUUUGCAGCUUCACACCUGCUCCUCUUUGUUCAUUAGCUGGAUCUCAGUGUUAUGCUUGGUUCCACUCGGCGUGAUAAGUUAUCUAUCGCUGAGGACACUGUAAAGAUGGCCAAGGUAAAUGCAGAUGAACCGCUUCUAAUAGUCCAUUGACUUGGACAAUACUUUUAUGAUCUGAUCUCAAAUCAGGUAGGACUACCCGCUGAACUUAAGC